CCUGGCGGCGAUAGCGCGGUGGUCCCACCUGACCCCAUGCCGAACUCAGCAGUGAAACGCCGUAGCGCCGAUGGUAGUGUGGGGUC
This 86-nucleotide ribosomal RNA is filed under the name Lonsdalea populi. Lineage: Bacteria; Pseudomonadati; Pseudomonadota; Gammaproteobacteria; Enterobacterales; Pectobacteriaceae. The record is from RNAcentral.